CGCCUCUUGACUCUAAUAAGAGGUCCAGCCUGCCCAGUGACUCUGUUCAACGGCCGCGGUAUCCUAACCGUGCGAAGGUAGCGUAAUCACUUGUUCUUUAAAUGAGGACUAGUAUGAACGGCACCACGAAGGUUAUACUGUCUCCUUUUUUUGAUCAGUGAAACUAAUCUCCCCGUGAAGAAGCGGGGAUAAACCUAUAAGACGAGAAGACCCUAUGGAGCUUUAAACAACAUAACACUCACCUUAUUAUGUAAACAUUUCCGAACAGAAAUUUAUCAGGUGAAAUGGUUAUAAGUUUUCGGUUGGGGUGACCAUGGAGUAAAACAUAACCUCCACGUUGAAAGAACAUUAUUCUAAACUAAGACCUACUAGACAAAGUAUCAAUAUUUUGACAUCAAUUGACCCAAUACUUUUGAGCAACGAACCAAGUUACCCUAGGGAUAACAGCGCAAUCCACUUUAAGAGCCCCUAUCGACAAGUGGGUUUACGACCUCGAUGUUGGAUCAGGGUCUCCAAGUGGUGCAGCCGCUACUAAAGGUUCGUUUGUUCAACGAUUAAAACCCUACG
RNAcentral lists this ribosomal RNA (567 nucleotides) under Ansonia thinthinae (Thin Thin's stream toad). RNAcentral's name for it is "partial 16S ribosomal RNA". It matches the Rfam family "Bacterial large subunit ribosomal RNA", at positions 1817 to 2600 of the family's 2925-position model. The record is from RNAcentral. Lineage: Eukaryota; Metazoa; Chordata; Amphibia; Anura; Bufonidae.